UUUAGACCAGUCUUAGAUUUACUGAAUGCAGAAGUACUAGAGAUACUAAAGUGGAUCAACCUGUCAACUAUGUUUGCACUUGCUAAGAGUGUUUGAAGGAACCAAAGCUGACCUCCAACCUAAUUUGACUUGAUUUGCUUGUCUUGGGGCUUGGUAUACAAGGGAUCGGAAUCCUCCUACAAGUCUGAAAGGUAAACGCUCAUAUGUGUUGCUGGUUCCCUUCUUUCUCUCUCUUCGGCAUCUCAAAGAUCAAAAUUAUAAAGAAAAGAUUGAGAUGAUUUCCUGGAAGAGGCAGAAUGGUAGGAGUGUCUCCUGUGACCCCAUUAUUCUAAGUCUGAAGGGAAUGAUCACACAUUGUGGAAACGAGGGGUAGGAGUGUCUCCUAUGACCCCAUUAUUCGCUACACUUUGUCAAAAAAAAAAAAAAGAGCAUCAUGUCAAUAAGAUGAACUAGAUGUCUAAUCAACAUCGAAAUUCAUUGGGAUUGAAACUAAUAAAGAGAUUCAGAGAAGAGAGUAGGGGGAAGAAAGGAACCAAAUGAAACUACAUACUUGCUUGAGUUUAGUCCAUGUGUUCCUUGAUCGAUACUCCCAAGGUAAAGCAUGCACUUUUAUUUUAUGCAAGAAAUGAGGUUAGUAGAGGGG
RNAcentral lists this long non-coding RNA (643 nucleotides) under Brassica rapa (field mustard). RNAcentral's name for it is "long non-coding RNA (BRAP_LNC008959)". The record is from RNAcentral. Lineage: Eukaryota; Viridiplantae; Streptophyta; Magnoliopsida; Brassicales; Brassicaceae.